This 1101-nucleotide long non-coding RNA is filed under the name Anas platyrhynchos platyrhynchos (common mallard). RNAcentral describes it as "lncRNA (ENSAPLG00000022179.1)". The record is from RNAcentral. Lineage: Eukaryota; Metazoa; Chordata; Aves; Anseriformes; Anatidae.
AUGCUCACAGCAAGCACAAGCUGGAGCCGAGGCGAUGCUGGAGCCCAGCACACGGUGUUAUUGCCCGGGGCGUUUUGGCAAUGUGGAAGCAGCGAGACUGGACUCUUCGAAGUCAGGCGGGAUUUUAGGAAGCUGCUCCUUGCCUCCCUCUGGACUUGCCUGGCUCUCGUGUGCUCACAGCUGGCUGUUCGUUUCCCCCAUGCGUUUUGCCAACUUUUAAAACGCAAAUCAGCCUCUGAAGGAGCAAGGUUUAAAGUCAGUGCUUUGACCCUGACCCAAGCCAGCGCCGGCUCCCCUCCCUUUCUUUCCUUUCCUCCAUUCGCACAUAACCUUCCUUCUCCUUUUCAGACACAAUCAGCAGCCGAGGAGCAGGGCAGAGCCCCAGGCAGUGCCCGCAGCCCUUGGGCUGGCUGGAGCAGCACCUGCUGGCGGCUCUGUCUGACCCCGAUUGUGCAACCCACCUGGCUGCCAGCACUGCAAAGUGCGCUUGGUCAAACAGGCGAUGACACAAAGCAGGGAACGGAGCAAGCCACGUUUGUCCCGUUACACCUCUGUGCAACAUGUGCCGGAAAACGAUUUUUGGUUGCAUUUGCAAAAAGAUUCCCAAAAGCGGGUAAAAGCACUGCAGGCACUGAUGUGGUGAAGCUUGGCUGCAGGAGCCAGCCCUGUGCCAGCAGUGGGGCCAUCGGGGUGCCACUGAAGUGGGUGUCACCGAGCUGGCUGCAAGCAGAAGUGGCCGUGGUGCCAUGCAGCAAGGUCUGCACGGGGCUGGGGAUGCGGCAUUCCCUGCAGAGCACAGCAGCCAGGCGGGAAGGGGACGGCAAAGCCCUGAAGCAGCGAGGGCAAAGACCCCAGAGGAGCACUCGGGCCACCCUCAGGCUUUGUUUCUCAUCGCCACUUGCAACUUCACUGCACCAACUGUGUGAGGCUUUGCUGGCCACCGCCUCGGCAACGCCGGACAGGCAGCAGCAGCUCGUAACCGCAGCAGCGCCCAGCCAAGAUGUGCUCCCCCGUCGGCAGAUGGGAUUUAUUGCGGAUGAUUCGGCCUGGAAUAAAAACAUCAGCCCCACCUCUCACAGCGUAUUUACUGAAAGCCACUAA